AGUUCAACACAUACAAUCGAGGCGUCAAAUUCCGGAAAAUCUUCAUCGCUAAAAGAGGUCCAUGGGUGUCUCCAGCACCAAGCUCGACCUGUGAACAGACACACAGCAGGUUGACAGACAGAAAGCAUUUGAUUCCCAGACAGAUCCCCGCAGUAACACGCGAUCCUCUGCCUAACUUUAUCAACACACAGCCCCUGCUGGAAAAGUCUUAACCUCACAACCUGUUGGGUGUCUUGCAAAGUAUCCAGCCGAGGAGUCACAGCAUAUAAAUCAAUGUCGAGGGUCACAAGCUAGCCACCUAGCUAACGAUACAUGUGAUUGUACACGAAACUGCUCAAUAUCAGCCGGGUAAAGUUGAUAGAAUUGCUGCGACAUGCCCCUGCACACACAUCAAACCAGAUCACUGCUGCAUAUGUUACCUCUCUCCUGACAUUUAGCAGGGAAUAGUAAUCAUCGUUGAGGAUCUCAUCAUCGUCCAAGGAAGACGCCAUGUUUA
Long non-coding RNA from Gymnodraco acuticeps, 496 nucleotides. RefSeq lists it as uncharacterized. The transcript is spliced from 3 exons. The record is from RefSeq and is a predicted model, not a curated record. NCBI's taxonomy places the organism in Eukaryota, Metazoa, Chordata, Actinopteri, Perciformes, Bathydraconidae.